RNAcentral lists this ribosomal RNA (274 nucleotides) under uncultured bacterium. RNAcentral's name for it is "partial 16S ribosomal RNA". It matches the Rfam family "Bacterial small subunit ribosomal RNA", at positions 523 to 796 of the family's 1533-position model. The record is from RNAcentral.
AUACGGAGGGUGCAAGCGUUACUCGGAAUCACUGGGCGUAAAGCGCGCGCAGGCGGCUAUUUAAGUUGGAUGUGAAAGCCUACGGCUCAACCGUAGAACUGCAUCCAAAACUAUUUAGCUAGAGUGUGUGAGAGGAAGAUGGAAUUAGUUGUGUAGAGGUAAAAUCCGUAGAGAUAACUAGGAAUACCAAAAGCGAAGGCAAUCUUCUGGAACACUACUGACGCUGAGGCGCGAAAGCGUGGGGAGCAAACGGAAUUAGAAACCCCAGUAGUCC